RNAcentral lists this ribosomal RNA (478 nucleotides) under uncultured bacterium. RNAcentral describes it as "partial 16S ribosomal RNA". It matches the Rfam family "Bacterial small subunit ribosomal RNA", at positions 28 to 523 of the family's 1533-position model. The record is from RNAcentral.
GACGAACGCUGGCGGCGUGCUUAACACAUGCAAGCCGAACGGUAAGGCCCUUCGGGGUACACGAGUGGCGAACGGGUGAGUAACACGUGGGUGAUUUGCCCUGCACUUCGGGAUAAGCCUGGGACACUGGGUCUAAUACCGGAUAGGACCACUGCCUGCAUGGGUGGUGGUGGAAAGCUUUUGUGGUGUGGGAUGGGCCCGCGGCCUAUCAGCUUGGUGGUGGGGUGAUGGCCUCCCAAGGCGACGACGGGGAGCCGGCCUGAGCGGAUGACCGGCCACACUGGGACGGACGUACGGCCCAGACGCCGACGGGGGGCAGCAGUGGGGAAUAUUGCACAAUGGGCGCAAGGCUGAUGCAGCGACGCCGCGUGAGGGAUGACGGCCUUCGAGUUGUAAACCUCUUUCAGCACCGACGAAGCGCAAGUGACGGUAGGUGCAGAAGAAGGACCGGCCAACUACGUGCCAGCGGCCGCCGUAA